AAUCCCGGGCCAGAGCCCUCCUUUUCUUUCCUUUUUUUUCCUUUUCCGUUUUCAGUACUGAGGACUGAACCCAGGGCCUUCGCACUGAGCUACAUCCCCACCCCAUUUUUUGAGACAGGGUCUCUCUAAAUUGCCCAGGCUGGGCGCGUACUUUCGAUCCUCCUGCCUCAGCCUCGGGAGUGCCGGGAUUACAGGCGUGCACCAUCACGCCCUGCUCCAGUCGCUCUUUUCGCAGAAAGACAAAGUGGCUUAGUAACCCUACCUGAUCCUUAGGCCACAGCGACCACCCCUCCUAUUUGUCCUGCUGGGCAGGAAAAGCUAAAUGAACCCGGGCUCUGGGCGUUGCUUCCUCCUGCCCUGUAAGGUGGCUGAAGGGGGUUGAAGGGACUUUCUCGGGUUUUAUUUCCAUCCGUUAGUGCCGCUCCCCACCCUAAAGCCACUCAAGGCCUCAUGGCCUCAGGGUUCCCAGAGAGGAACUAACUCUGCAGGGCGGGCGUCCUAAGCAGAAAUCUAGGAGAGGCUCUUCUUGGAACCUGAAGCUCCGUCACCCUGGAAGCCGAAGCUCCAUCACCCUGGAAGCCGACAGAGGAUGCUGGCUCUUCCCUCGGAAACCCCAGAGGGGAGGGAGGAAAAGUUAAUGGACCUCAACUAAGCCCUGUUCACUGAGCGCUGAAAACAAACAAAAGCAGUGACUCUCAGUGCAACAAUUUAACAAUGUCGUCGUUACAGUGUAGCGCUAGAUCUGCGCAGGUCUGCAGCUUGGCUUGUCCCGGGAAAAAGGGGGCUGCCUAAAAGCCGGAAGCUGUGCUCUGCUCCAAGCGCCCACCCUCCUGAAGGUUCUGUUACUUUGGUUAAAUCAUGUCACUUCUCCAAACCAUGGUCUCCUUCUUAGCAUUUAUUGUUUUCUUCCCUCAACAAAAACGGAGAGCCACGAUGUUGCUCGCUGAAGAAAGUAAAAUGAAGAAAACCGGCUCAGCUUCGCAAGGCUCAGCCGCAUGGUGACGCUAAACGGAGGUCUGUGGAAGACGGAGCGCAACGGCCUUGGGGGCGAUGGUCAGAGGUUUGAACAAGCUGAAUUUUGAAGGAUGAAUUCCUCUGGCUCCAAGAAGUUCUGGCUCUACAUUCUCUAUGUUCAAGUCUAACCCAAAAAGAAAUGGAAGAGCUGAGAUGAUAAAGGAGAGCAGAUGAGACAGCCCAGAAAUGAGCAACAGGAGGAAAUCACUGCAAUGGCAGAGCGUGAAAGUUCAAAGGAGCCCAGAAGCCCGGGGCCAUCUGCGCUAAGAUAGGGCUAGGAGCCAGGCAGGCCAUGCGAUCUUCACCAGAGCUACAGCAUGAAGCAGAGGGAGAGGGACGCAUACCUGGCAAUUUCCUCUCUUCCAUUCUCCAAUCUUCCACCGGUGCCUUCCAUUGAAUAAUGCUGGCCAGGGCCAGCUAGCAGGGCAGCCUGUAAUAUUCAGCCUGUGGGAGGCAGGAAGCAGAGAUGGGAAGGGGCUCUGAACACAAAUAGCACUGUUAGUUAGGUUUUCGCCAUGAGCUCCAGGCUUUUGACAGCUUAGAGAAUAAACAUUGCUUUACCUCUCUUGGGAAUCUGCAGGCUAACUCAUGGAGAGGCGAAGCCUCAAGGGCUUGCUGCUUUGAGCUAUGGGUUGCAUAUACCUGUCCACCUCUGUCCCUCAUCCUCAGACUCCAGGGCACGUCUUCUCCUGCAGAUGGCAGAAGUGCAAAGCAGGAAGCAGAAAUGUGAUACUGCCCCAGGCCUCCGAUCUGAAUGGCAGGAGUCACCUUCAACCCACUUUACAUUGCCCAAGGCAAGCCACACAGACUUGCUUAUUCUUGGUAUUUCUAUUACAAGGAGAGGGUGAAGAAUUUGGAAGAGUACUGUGAUACACACACACACACACUGCUUAUCUCCUAAAAAUAUUCUAAGGGAAAUAUCUUAUUUUCUUUAAAUGGGUCACAUGCCCAAUCCUAAACCAAUUACCUGAC
Molecule: long non-coding RNA, 1986 nt
Filed under: Heterocephalus glaber (naked mole-rat)
Lineage: Eukaryota; Metazoa; Chordata; Mammalia; Rodentia; Bathyergidae
Description: lncRNA (ENSHGLG00000035462.1)
Source: RNAcentral